This 428-nucleotide ribosomal RNA is filed under the name uncultured bacterium. Its description in RNAcentral is "partial 16S ribosomal RNA". It matches the Rfam family "Bacterial small subunit ribosomal RNA", at positions 354 to 796 of the family's 1533-position model. The record is from RNAcentral.
GUGGGGAAUAUUGGGCAAUGGGCGCAAGCCUGACCCAGCAACGCCGCGUGAAGGAAGAAGGCUUUCGGGUUGUAAACUUCUUUUACCAGGGACGAAAAAAAUGACGGUACCUGGAGAAUAAGCCACGGCUAACUACGUGCCAGCAGCCGCGGUAAUACGUAGGUGGCAAGCGUUGUCCGGAUUUACUGGGUGUAAAGGGCGCGUAGGCGGGAGAGCACGUCAGGAGUGAAAUCUAUGGGCUUAACCCAUAAAUUGCUUUUGAAACUGUUUUUCUUGAGUGAUGGAGAGGCAAGCGGAAUUCCUAGUGUAGCGGUGAAAUGCGUAGAUAUUAGGAGGAACACCAGUGGCGAAGGCGGCUUGCUGGACAUUAACUGACGCUGAUGCGCGAAAGCGUGGGGAGCAAACAGGAUUAGAAACCCGUGUAGUCC